RNAcentral lists this ribosomal RNA (492 nucleotides) under uncultured bacterium. RNAcentral's name for it is "partial 16S ribosomal RNA". It matches the Rfam family "Bacterial small subunit ribosomal RNA", at positions 29 to 507 of the family's 1533-position model. The record is from RNAcentral.
AGUGAACGCUGGCGGUAGGCCUAACACAUGCAAGUCGAACGGCAGCACAGUAAGAGCUUGCUCUUACGGGUGGCGAGUGGCGGACGGGUGAGGAAUACAUCGGAAUCUACUUUUUCGUGGGGGAUAACGUAGGGAAACUUACGCUAAUACCGCAUACGACCUACGGGUGAAAGCAGGGGAUCUUCGGACCUUGCGCGAUUGAAUGAGCCGAUGUCGGAUUAGCUAGUUGGCGGGGUAAAGGCCCACCAAGGCGACGAUACGUAGCUGGUCUGAGAGGAUGAUCAGCCACAUUGGAACGGAGACACGGUCCAGACUCCUACGGGAGGCAGCAGUGGGGAAUAUUGGACAAUGGGCGCAAGCCUGAUCCAGCCAUACCGCGUGGGUGAAGAAGGCCUUCGGGUUGUAAAGCCCUUUUGUUGGGAAAGAAAAGCAGCAGGUUAAUACCCCGCUGUUCUGACGGUACCCAAAGAAUAAGCACCGGCUAACUUCGUG